GACGAACGCUGGCGGCGUGCUUAACACAUGCAAGUCGAACGGAAAGGCCUCUUUCGGGGGGUGCUCGAGUGGCGAACGGGUGAGUAACACGUGAGUAACCUGCCCGUGGCUUUGGGAUAAGUUCGGGAAACUGGGGCUAAUACGGGAUAGGAGCUCCUGCUGCAUGGGGGGGGUUUGAAAGUUUCGGCGGUUGGGGGUGGAUUCGUGGCGUAUCGGCUUGUGGGGGGGGUAGUGGGUUACCAAGGCGUAGACGGGUAGCCGGACUGAGGGGGUGACACGCCAUCUUGGGACUGAGGGACGGCCCAGGCGCCGACGGUUGGCAGCAGGGGGGAAUACUGCUCCAGGGGUGGAAGCCUGAUGCAGCAAGUCUGCGUGCGGGAUGACGGCCUUCGGGUGGUAAAACGCUUGCAAUCAUGACGAAGCUUUGUGUGACGGUAGUGGGUAAAGAAGCACCGGCUAACUACGUG
Molecule: ribosomal RNA, 467 nt
Filed under: uncultured bacterium
Lineage: Bacteria
Description: partial 16S ribosomal RNA
Rfam family: Bacterial small subunit ribosomal RNA
Source: RNAcentral